GGUGAUUGUAGCUCAGCUGGUUAGAGCGCUAGAUUGUGGAUCUAGAGGUCACGGGUUCAAUCCCCGUCAUUCACCC
Molecule: transfer RNA, 76 nt
Filed under: Bacteroides sp.
Lineage: Bacteria; Pseudomonadati; Bacteroidota; Bacteroidia; Bacteroidales; Bacteroidaceae
Description: tRNA-His
Rfam family: tRNA
About the family: Transfer RNA (tRNA) molecules are approximately 80 nucleotides in length. Their secondary structure includes four short double-helical elements and three loops (D, anti-codon, and T loops). Further hydrogen bonds mediate the characteristic L-shaped molecular structure. tRNAs have two regions of fundamental functional importance: the anti-codon, which is responsible for specific mRNA codon recognition, and the 3' end, to which the tRNAs corresponding amino acid is attached (by aminoacyl-tRNA synthetases). tRNAs cope with the degeneracy of the genetic code in two manners: having more than one tRNA (with a specific anti-codon) for a particular amino acid; and 'wobble' base-pairing, i.e. permitting non-standard base-pairing at the 3rd anti-codon position.
Source: RNAcentral